CCAAAUAUUAUUAAAUCUCCAAUCCCACUUAUUCUUGUUCAUUGUUGCACAUUCAACAAGGUAUGUCGCAAUGACAAAGGUUAGCAGCUUCGCAAAAUGCAUCAACAUCUUUGCCAUACUUUUUAAUACAAUGACUCAUGCAUUUUGCAUUGGAGCAAUCUUGGAGCUUCUCUUGCCGAUAACAUGAAUAUCGCUCAUCCGCCUUUGUCACGAAACCUGCCAAAAAGUUACUCAUUAGUCUAGCUUUGUUUGUUCUAAUUGACAAAGCCAUUUGGUUUUUUUUUAUUUGACAAGAAUAUUUGUCCUGUGAAUUGGUGUUUGGGCUAAAAUAUGGAAUUGAUGAAAUGCUAAACGCAAUACUUGACUUUUGCAUGAGUUGUGUAUUUCUAAACAAGCUUACCUCCUAAUUACAAGAUUAUUGUAGUUCAUAUAUUCGUAAGGAGAAAGAAGAUUUUGUUGUAUAUAUUUCAAUAGGUGCAUAAGGAAACAUAUCAAUGAGAUGAGUGGAGCUUAAUUCGCAACAAGAUUUACAAAAGAACUUAGGUUUGAUAGAUUUAAUUCAGUUGUUGGAUAUAUAUUUGAAUUAUGCAUCCUUGUGUCAAAUCCUAUGUUAAUAUUGCUACUAUACUUGGCCCAAGCCUUUUAAAAAAAAAUGCUAAAGUUUAGCAUUUUGUCACCGCUCAGUUCAUUGCCUCCACAGAACCAGUGAAUUGAGGGGUGACUGAAAUGGAUGAUGUAUAAAAAAAUGUAACAUUCUCAACCAAUAAUUUCCCCACUUACUUGCUCAAAAAAUGAAAUAAAAAAACUUAGGGAACGCAUGGUAUGGGGGGAAGGAGUUUAUAUUAGUUAAUCAUAUAAAAUGAAAAGAGAUAGAGCAAAUAAGGGAGAAAUUUCUUACCACUAGAAAUAAGAAAAACAACCAUAAUCAGGAGAACAACAGAAGAUGCCUUCAUGUUUGCUGGUUUAGCAUAAA
Molecule: long non-coding RNA, 973 nt
Filed under: Phoenix dactylifera (date palm)
Lineage: Eukaryota; Viridiplantae; Streptophyta; Magnoliopsida; Arecales; Arecaceae
Description: long non-coding RNA (PDAC_LNC001654)
Source: RNAcentral